Molecule: ribosomal RNA, 394 nt
Filed under: Triticum aestivum (bread wheat)
Lineage: Eukaryota; Viridiplantae; Streptophyta; Magnoliopsida; Poales; Poaceae
Description: partial small subunit ribosomal RNA
Source: RNAcentral
CCGAAACCCUAGCCCCCAAAUCCCCCAUCUCCCUCUCCCUCUCAGAUUCGUUCUGGCCCCUCUUCUCGAUCUGGAGGAAACCGUCGCCGCCGUCGCCAUGGGUUCGCCGCCCGCAUAGCCACCGAGCCCCCCGCACAAUCCACCGCGUCCACCGGCCCCGCCGUCGACUCCCUCGUCAUCGGCAACAGCGUGUUGGAGUUGGGAGCCCCUGCAUCGCCCUCGACGCCGCCCUCUUCUUCCUCGGGUCGCCGGCAAAUCUCGGUGAUUCCGGCGAGCCUGCAGCUACUAAGCCGUCACCGGGCCCCCUUGCGCCUCCCCAACCCCGAGGCCGAUGAUGCCCCGGUGAUCGACUACGUCGACGACGACCCUUCUUCCCUUUCACCGAAGCUUCCAG